UACGUAGGGUGCAAGCGUUAAUCGGAAUUACUGGGCGUAAAGCGUGCGCAGGCGGUUUUGUAAGUCUGACGUGAAAUCCCCGGGCUCAACCUGGGAAUUGCAUUGGAGACUGCAAGGCUAGAAUCUGGCAGAGGGGGGUAGAAUUCCACGUGUAGCAGUGAAAUGCGUAGAGAUGUGGAGGAACACCGAUGGCGAAGGCAGCCCCCUGGGUCAAGAUUGACGCUCAUGCACGAAAGCAUGGGGAGCAAACAGG
This 253-nucleotide ribosomal RNA is filed under the name uncultured bacterium. Its description in RNAcentral is "partial 16S ribosomal RNA". It matches the Rfam family "Bacterial small subunit ribosomal RNA", at positions 524 to 776 of the family's 1533-position model. The record is from RNAcentral.